UACGUAGGGGGCAAGCGUUAUCCGGAUUUACUGGGUGUAAAGGGAGCGUAGGUGGUAUGGCAAGUCAGAAGUGAAAACCCAAGGCUUAACCAUGGGAAUGCUUUUGAAACUGUCGUACUAGAGUGCUGGAGGGGUAAGUGGAAUUCCUAGUGUAGCGGUGAAAUGCGUAGAUAUUAGGAGGAACACCGGUGGCGAAGGCGGCUUACUGGACAGUAACUGACACUGAGGCUCGAAAGCGUGGGGAGCAAACA
RNAcentral lists this ribosomal RNA (251 nucleotides) under uncultured bacterium. Its description in RNAcentral is "partial 16S ribosomal RNA". It matches the Rfam family "Bacterial small subunit ribosomal RNA", at positions 524 to 774 of the family's 1533-position model. The record is from RNAcentral.